UAGAGUUUGAUCCUGGCUCAGAGCGAACGCUGGCGGCAGGCUUAACACAUGCAAGUCGAACGGCUCUUUCGGGAGCAGUGGCGGACGGGUGAGUAACGCGUGGGAACGUGCCCUAAGGUUCGGAACAACACAGGGAAACUUGUGCUAAUACCGGAUGUGCCCGAGAGGGGAAAGAUUCAUCGCCUUAGGAGCGGCCCGCGUCUGAUUAGCUAGUUGGUGGGGUAAAGGCCCACCAAGGCUACGAUCAGUAGCUGGUCUGAGAGGAUGGCCAGCCACACUGGGACUGAGACACGGCCCAGACUCCUACGGGAGGCAGCAGUGGGGAAUCUUGCGCAAUGGGCGAAAGCCUGACGCAGCCAUGCCGCGUGGAUGAUGAAGGUCUUAGGAUUGUAAAAUCCUUUCAGCGGGGACGAUAAUGACGGUACCCGCAGAAGAAGCCCCGGCUAACUUCGUGCCAGCAGCCGCGGUAAUACGAAGGGGGCUAGCGUUGCUCGGAAUUACUGGGCGUAAAGGGAGCGUAGGCGGAUCGUUUAGUCAGGGGUGAAAUCCCGGGGCUCAACCUCGGAACUGCCUUUGAUACUGGCGAUCUUGAGUAUGGGAGAGGUGUGUGGAACUCCGAGUGUAGAGGUGAAAUUCGUAGAUAUUCGGAAGAACACCAGUGGCGAAGGCGACACACUGGCCCAUACUACGCUA
Molecule: ribosomal RNA, 693 nt
Filed under: uncultured bacterium
Lineage: Bacteria
Description: bacterial SSU rRNA
Rfam family: Bacterial small subunit ribosomal RNA
Source: RNAcentral